RNAcentral lists this ribosomal RNA (397 nucleotides) under uncultured bacterium. RNAcentral describes it as "partial 16S ribosomal RNA". It matches the Rfam family "Bacterial small subunit ribosomal RNA", at positions 523 to 918 of the family's 1533-position model. The record is from RNAcentral.
AUACGUAGGUGGCAAGCGUUGUCCGUAAUUAUUGGGCGUAAAGCGCGCGCAGGUGGUUCCUUAAGUCUGAUGUGAAAGCCCCCGGCUCAACCGGGGAGGGUCAUUGGAAACUGGGGAACUUGAGUGCAGAAGAGGAUAGUGGAAUUCCAAGUGUAGCGGUGAAAUGCGUAGAGAUUUGGAGGAACACCAGUGGCGAAGGCGACUGUCUGGUCUGUAACUGACACUGAGGCGCGAAAGCGUGGGGAGCAAACAGGAUUAGAUACCCUGGUAGUCCACGCCGUAAACGAUGAGUGCUAAGUGUUGGGGGGUUUCCGCCCCUCAGUGCUGCAGCUAACGCAUUAAGCACUCCGCCUGGGGAGUACGGUCGCAAGACUGAAACUCAAAGGAAUUGACGGGG